CCCUUAGAUGUUCUGGGCCGCACGCGCGCUACACUGAUGCAUUCAACGAGUCUAAAACCUGGUCUGAUAGGGCUGGGUAAUCUUUUGAAUGUGCAUCGUGAUUGGGAUAGAUGAUUGCAAUUCUUCAUCUUCAACGAGGAAUGCCUAGUAGGCGCAAGUCAUCAGCUUGCGUCGAUUACGUCCCUGCCCUUUGUACACACCGCCCGUCGCUCCUACCGAUUGAAUGCUCAGGUGAGCCAUUCGGACUUUCAUCAUGCUGGUUUCCAGUUUUGAUGAAGGAAAGUCUUGCGAACCUUAUCAUUUAGAGGAAGGAGAAGUCGUAACA
RNAcentral lists this ribosomal RNA (325 nucleotides) under uncultured eukaryote. RNAcentral describes it as "partial 18S ribosomal RNA". It matches the Rfam family "Eukaryotic small subunit ribosomal RNA", at positions 1470 to 1796 of the family's 1831-position model. The record is from RNAcentral.